This 390-nucleotide ribosomal RNA is filed under the name uncultured bacterium. Its description in RNAcentral is "bacterial SSU rRNA". It matches the Rfam family "Bacterial small subunit ribosomal RNA", at positions 28 to 419 of the family's 1533-position model. The record is from RNAcentral.
GACGAACGCUGGCGGCGUGCUUAACACAUGCAAGUCGAGCGGUAAGGCCCUUUCGGGGGUACACGAGCGGCGAACGGGUGAGUAACACGUGGGUGACCUGCCUCUAGCUCUGGGAUAAGCCCGGGAAACUGGGUCUAAUACUGGAUAUGACUCCAUGACGCAUGUUGUGGGGUGGAAAGCCUUGUGCGGCUAGAGAUGGGCCCGCGGCCUAUCAGCUUGUUGGUGGGGNGAUGGCCUACCAAGGCGACGACGGGUAGCCGGCCUGAGAGGGCGACCGGCCACACUGGGACUGAGACACGGCCCAGACUCCUACGGGAGGCAGCAGUGGGGAAUCUUGCGCAAUGGGCGAAAGCCUGACGCAGCGACGCCGCGUGAGGGAUGACGGCCUGG